CGGAGUAUAAAAGUGCAUUAGAACCCUAUGUCGCUCGAUACGUCGAGUUGAGGUGUGAAUUGGGUUUGAAGUGAGUUAGUUUCGAGGACGAAACUCCUUUUAAGGAGGGGAGGAUGUAAGGUACCGGACUUCUAAAAUUAUGAAGCUACGGUGUAAAUUUGAUUGGAGAGCCAUUUGAAGGGUUCCGGUGAAGUUCGGUGAAGUUUGGAAGCAUCCGGGCGAUUCGGUGCGCGUAGGCGCGAAAACGGGACCCGAAAGACUAUGUCGGA
Molecule: long non-coding RNA, 269 nt
Filed under: Ananas comosus (pineapple)
Lineage: Eukaryota; Viridiplantae; Streptophyta; Magnoliopsida; Poales; Bromeliaceae
Description: long non-coding RNA (ACOM_LNC033171)
Source: RNAcentral